Molecule: transfer RNA, 87 nt
Rfam family: tRNA
About the family: Transfer RNA (tRNA) molecules are approximately 80 nucleotides in length. Their secondary structure includes four short double-helical elements and three loops (D, anti-codon, and T loops).
Source: Rfam
GGAGAGGUGCGAGAGCGGUCGAAUCGGGCUCCCUGCUAAGGAGUUGUGCUGGUAACGGCACCGAGGGUUCGAAUCCCUCCUUCUCCG